GAUGAACGCUGGCGGCGUGCCUAAUACAUGCAAGUCGAGCGAACAGACGAGGAGCUUGCUCCUCUGACGUUAGCGGCGGACGGGUGUGUAACACGUGGAUAACCUACCUAUAAGACUGGUAUAACUUCGGAACACCGGAUCUAAUCCCGGAUAAUAUAUUGCACCGUAUGGUGCAAUAGUGAAAGACGGCUUUGCUGUCACUUAUCGCUGGAUCCGCGCCGCAUUAGCUAGUUGGUAAGGUCACGGCUUAUCAAGGCUACGAUGCGUAGGCGACGUGAGAGGGGGGUCGCCCCCACGGGAGCUGGGACGCGGACCAGACUCCUACGGGAGGCCGCAGUAGGGAAUGUUCCGCAGUGGUCGAAAGCCUGGCGGAGCGGCGCCGCGUGAGUGAUGGAAGUCUUCGGAUCGUAAAGCUCUGUUAUGAGGGAAGAACAAAUGUGGAAGUUACUAUGCACGGCUUGACGGUAACUAAUCAGAAAGCCACGGCUAACUACGUG
RNAcentral lists this ribosomal RNA (497 nucleotides) under uncultured bacterium. Its description in RNAcentral is "partial 16S ribosomal RNA". It matches the Rfam family "Bacterial small subunit ribosomal RNA", at positions 28 to 507 of the family's 1533-position model. The record is from RNAcentral.